AUUGAACGCUGGCGGAAUGCUUUACACAUGCAAGUCGAGCGGCAGGGCGGGCUUCGGCCUGGCGGCGAGCGGCGAACGGGUGAGUAAUACAUCGGAACGUGCCCAGGUGUGGGGGAUAGCUCGGCGAAAGCCGAAUUAAUACCGCAUACGAUCUCCGGAUGAAAGUGGGGGACCGCAAGGCCUCACGCACUUGGAGCGGCCGAUGGCAGAUUAGGUUGUUGGUGGGGUAAAGGCCUACCAAGCCUGCGAUUUGUAGCUGGUCUGAGAGGAUGAUCAGCCACACUGGGACUGAGACACGGCCCAGACUCC
RNAcentral lists this ribosomal RNA (309 nucleotides) under uncultured Hylemonella sp. RNAcentral describes it as "bacterial SSU rRNA". It matches the Rfam family "Bacterial small subunit ribosomal RNA", at positions 30 to 339 of the family's 1533-position model. Lineage: Bacteria; Pseudomonadati; Pseudomonadota; Betaproteobacteria; Burkholderiales; Comamonadaceae. The record is from RNAcentral.